GACGAACCGAGCGAACGUUGUUCGGAAUCACUGGGCUUAAAGGGCGCGUAGGCGGGCUGCCAAGUUUGGGGUGAAAUCCUCCGGCUCAACCGGAGCAGUGCCUCGAAUACUGGCGGUCUCGAGGGAGGUAGGGGCGUGCGGAACUGUGGGUGGAGCGGUGAAAUGCGUUGAUAUCCACAGGAACUCCGGUGGCGAAGGCGGCACGCUGGACCUUUUCUGACGCUGAGGCGCGAAAGCUAGGGGAGCGAACGGG
Molecule: ribosomal RNA, 253 nt
Filed under: uncultured bacterium
Lineage: Bacteria
Description: partial 16S ribosomal RNA
Rfam family: Bacterial small subunit ribosomal RNA
Source: RNAcentral